GCAGGGUGGCCACCCAGUAAUCAGCACAAGUUAGAAUGUGGGCAACUCUGCAGUUGUUGCGCAGGCACUUUGGUGACUCUAGAUAACCUUGGGCUGAUCGCACGUCCCCGUGACGGCGACGACGCAUUUGGAUGUCUGCCCUAUCAACUUUCGAUGGUACUUUCUGCGCCUACCAUGGUGACCACGGGUAACGGGGAAUCAGGGUUCGAUUCCAGAGAGGGAGCCUGAAAAACAGCUACCACACCCAAGGAAGGCAGCAGGCGUGCAAAUUACCCACUCCCGACGCGGGGAGUUAGUGAC
Non-coding RNA from Pelobates cultripes (western spadefoot toad), 300 nucleotides. NCBI's taxonomy places the organism in Eukaryota, Metazoa, Chordata, Amphibia, Anura, Pelobatidae. The record is from the annotation of a GenBank genome assembly.